This 421-nucleotide ribosomal RNA is filed under the name fungal sp. RNAcentral describes it as "partial 28S ribosomal RNA". It matches the Rfam family "Eukaryotic large subunit ribosomal RNA", at positions 101 to 499 of the family's 3401-position model. Lineage: Eukaryota; Fungi. The record is from RNAcentral.
GCAAAAGCUCAAAUUUGAAACCUUCGGGAUUGUAAUUUGAAGAUUUGGCAUUGGAGAAAGCUAACCCAAGUUGCUUGGAAUAGUACGUCAUAGAGGGUGACAACCCCGUCUGGCUAACCGUUCUCCAUGUAUUGCCUUAUCAAAGAGUCGAGUUGUUUGGGAAUGCAGCUCAAAGUGGGUGGUAAACUCCAUCUAAAGCUAAAUACUGGUGAGAGACCGAUAGCGAACAAGUACUGUGAAGGAAAGGUGAAAAGAACUUUGAAAAGAGAGUGAAAUAGUAUGUGAAAUUGUUGAUAGGGAAGGAAAUGAGUGGAGAGUGGUUGAGGUUUCAGCCUACCUUUGGGUAGGUGUAUUGCCAACGCCGAGUCAUUGACAGCGAGACGGCGGUUAUAAACGGGUUGCUCUUGAGCCUCUCACCUAA